CUCUGUAUUACCCACUGUGUGAUUGUUACCCGCUCUGUAAUACCCGCUGUGUGAUUGUUACCCGCUCUGUUUUACGCGUUGUGUAAUUGUUACCUGCUCUGUAUUACCCGCUGUGUGAUUGUUACCUACUCUGUAUUACCCGCUGUGUGAUUGAUACCCACUGUGUGAUUGUUACCCGCUCUGUAUUACAGGUGUUCUAUCAAAUUUCCCUACAUCCCCUACCCUCAUCACUUCCGGUGAGGGAAAUCAGCUGGAUCCUGUGCUGCACAUGCAUGCUAGC
Molecule: non-coding RNA, 280 nt
Organism: Pelobates cultripes (western spadefoot toad)
Lineage: Eukaryota; Metazoa; Chordata; Amphibia; Anura; Pelobatidae
Source: the annotation of a GenBank genome assembly